RNA transcript from Musca domestica (house fly), 5809 nucleotides. RefSeq lists it as uncharacterized. The transcript has 8 exons. The record is from RefSeq and is a predicted model, not a curated record. Lineage: Eukaryota; Metazoa; Arthropoda; Insecta; Diptera; Muscidae.
GGCAUUCAUUUAGGGCGAAUUUAACAUUACAUUUUAUGGUGCCAUCAGCUGUGACGAUGCGACUACCUAAUAUAUCUGCCUUGCAUGUUAUGAACGAACGUGCUUACCAGCUGACAGCCGGUGUUUGGUUGUUGAUGUAAUAGUUAAGUUAGUAAAUUAGGAAAAUGUUAAAAUCGUUUAGUAUUUCGCUAUGGAAAUUGAAAAAUAAUAAUUGCUUUCUAAGUCUUCAACUAUCAACACACCUGCGUCUACUAUCAUCCACUUCUAGCCCUGCUGUCAAGGACUCGAAUAAUGAAAAUGAUUUGAUUAAUAAUUUUGCCGAUAUACCUGUCGAUCGGAUACGUAACUUCAGCAUAAUUGCCCAUGUAGAUCAUGGUAAGAGUACACUUGCUGAUCGUAUACUUGAAUUGACCGGAGCAAUAAAAGCCAAUUCCGGUAGUCAAGUUCUGGAUAGUCUACAAGUCGAAAAGGAACGUGGUAUCACAGUAAAAGCCCAAACCGUAUCCAUAUUUCAUAGAUACAAAAAUGAAACAUAUCUAUUGAAUCUAAUCGAUACACCGGGUCAUGUGGAUUUUUCAAAUGAAGUUUCGCGCUCCUUGGCUGCCUGUGAUGGUGUUAUUUUGUUGGUUGAUGCCUGCCAUGGUGUUCAGGCCCAAACAGUGGCUAAUUAUCAAUUGGCUAGAACACGUAACUUAGCUGUAGUGCCGGUAUUGAAUAAAAUUGACAUAAAACAUGCAGCUCCUGAAAAAGUAUGCAAAGAUUUAAAGAAUCUUUUUAGCAUAGAUCCGGAAAGGGUUUUAAAGAUUUCAGCAAAAUUAGGAAUAGGCGUUCCCGAGGUACUGAAUAGGGUCAUUGAAGUUGUACCCCCACCAAAAGUUUCUCGUAAUUCCCCUUUCCGUGCAUUGUUGUUUGAUAGUUGGUUCGAUCGUUAUCGUGGGGCCUUAAACCUAAUAUACCUAUUAAAUGGCAAGUUAGAAGUGGGUCAAGAUGUACAGCUAUACUCAACGAAAAAAGUAUAUCCCGUAAAAAGCAUUUCCAUAUUGAGGCCAGCAGAAACUGAAGUCAAGUGUAUAUCUGCCGGUCAAGUUGGCUUAAUUGCAGUAAAUAUGCGCAAUAGUAAAGAAUCCAUUAUAGGUGAUACAUUCCAUCUGAAAAAUGAACCAUGUGAACCGGUGGGUAGUUUUAAGCCACAACAGCCUAUGGUUUACGCUGGAGUGUUUCCAUCUGAUCAGUCGAAACAUGUGGCCCUUCGCAGUGCCAUUGACAAGCUGAUAUUGAACGAUUCUGCUGUAACAAUGAAAGUCGACUCUAGUCCUGCAUUGGGUCAAGGUUGGCGUUUGGGUUUUUUGGGCCUUCUACAUAUGGAGGUUUUCUGCCAACGUCUGGAACAAGAAUUCGGAGCUGAACCAAUUAUAACAGCGCCCUCUGUAACAUAUCGCAUUGUGCUGAAAAAUCCAAAAAUGAUUAAACAAAUGGGCACAGAUACUAUGGAAAUAUCCAAUGCAGCUCUUUUCCCCGAGCCGAUUAACAUUAAAGAAUACUAUGAACCCUUGGUGAAAGGCACAAUUAUCACACCAACAGAAUAUGUGGGACAAAUAAUUAGUUUAUGUGUGGAACGUCGAGGUGUCCAAGAGAGUUCUAUUAACAUAGAUAAUGACCGUAUCCUUAUGAAUUAUGUACUGCCUUUAAGUGAAAUAAUUCUAGACUUUAAUGAUCGCCUUAAGUCCAUUAGUUCGGGCUACGCCAGUUUUAAUUAUGAAGAUUACGGCUAUCAUUUAACUAAUUUAGUUCGAUUGGAUAUUCACUUAAAUGGCAGACCUGUAGAGGAACUUUGUCGUAUUGUGCAUGUUAGUAAAGCCAAGGAUAUUGGCCGUGACAUGGCAACGAAAUUAAAGGAAACAAUACCAAAACAAAUGGUGCAAAUAGCCAUACAGGCAUGCGUGGGAAGUAAAGUGUUGGCUAGAGAAACAAUCAAGGCAUAUCGCAAAGAUGUUACGGCCAAACUGUAUGGUGGUGACGUUACACGACGUAUGAAACUUUUACGCCAACAAGCUGAGGGCAAAAAGAAAAUGCGUCAAAUUGCUAAUAUUAAUGUGCCACAUGAAACGUUUAUUAAUGUCUUAAAACGUUGAAAGCAUACAAGGAAUUAUGAUGGAACAUCAAUGUAGAUAUAAGAAAACAAGUUUGUCCGACAUUCAAUAAAGCUCUUCUAAAACAAUCCCACAUUUUAUUUUCGAUGAGGAUUCUCUGAAAAACUCACUGUCAGCAAAAAUUGACCAAUAUCGUCAUCAAUAUAUAUUCAUCUUGGAAAGUUCUUAAAUGAUUUUAUAGAAACAAGCAUGAUCAACAGCGUAAAUACUUUGGAAUUUCUUAAACCAAAUUUGUUGGGUAUGGAUAAGGUUGGUAGCACCAACUCAACCGCAAGAACACAUCAUCAUCAAUUGUUUGGACACACUGCAACUAGGAACUUUUACAACAUUGUUGGCGGUGCUGACCACCAGGUGGCUCACGAGGAACCAAAUCAGGAACGCGUUAAGGUGCAACUUUUGCAGAAUCACAAAAAAUUACAAAAUAAUGAUUGUGGGAUUAAUAUUUUCGAUUUAAUAAACACCUCCAAAUAUAAAAUUAUGGAUGAUGCUGAUGGUGUGUGCCCCCAGCAACAAGAACAAGAGGAAGGAGAGAUACAAAACGAGAGGGAAACUGAUGCUGACUUGGAAACAAAAAGUGCCUUUAAUCUAGACUUAAAUAAACAGAAAAUCUAUAGAAACAACAACAAUAAUAAUAAGUCAUCACCAACACCAGAGACAAAUAACAAUGAUUUGUUUUUCAAACAAAAUCUCCAACAAAAUGGCUUUAUAAAUAAACAACCGCAGCAUCAACCACAACAAAAAACAAUGAUGGUUUUAUUGCCACGCCGUACUGAAGAUCAAGAACAUGCUCAUCGACGCAUUGAAAUCGUUCAUAAUUAUGCAAAAUUGAAGUCGUACGAAGAUGAGUCGUCAGAAAGUCAAUCGCCAAACGGUAGCCGUAACAGCAGCUACUUGGACGACGAGGAAGACGAUGAUGACGAGGACGACGAAGAAGACUAUGAAGUGGAUGAUGACAAUAAUGAUGCUGACUAUGAUGCCGAAGAAGAUGAGAUGAUUGAUUUGGAUGGUGUUUAUGAAGAUAUAUUCAAACGUAGAAAACUCCCCAAAUUAACCAAGCAAACAUCAAUGGAUGCUGGUGCAUUUAGAAUGGUGGAAAAACCAAAGUCCGGUAACAGCAACAAUAAAAGGUGUAAUAGUUUUAGCGCACCACCACAAAAACUUCAAACUGCAACAAAGGACCAAAAAAGUGACGAAGAUGUUGACAUACACGUUGAUGUAGACGUGGAAACAGUAGAUCAUGCUGCAGAUGUCCAAAAUCGCCCAAUCACAGCUACACCAGCAAAUUGUGGAAUAUCUAGUGAUGAUGCUGUCAUAAGUAAGCCCGACCAUCAUGCUCGUCGUCCAAUGAAUGCCUUUUUAAUAUUCUGCAAACGUCAUCGUGCCAUUGUCAAGGAUCGUUAUAAGAAUUUGGAAAAUAGGGCAAUAACAAAAAUCUUGGGUGAUUGGUGGGCAUCAUUGGAUGUCAGCGAUAAAAAAUGUUUUACGAAUUUGGCUCAACAGAAUAAGGAUGCCUUCUUCUCGGCCAAUCCCAAUUUUAAAUGGUACAAACUGCCAGCACCUCCCCUACGUACUCUGAAUACACGCCCAAAUGCUGUUGGCGAUGGUAUUGGAGAUAUGUUGGAACAAGACGAUGCCAUCAACCAUCAACAUAUGACAGUUGUCAACAAUACCACCACCACCACCACCCCUGUGCCCGUGGUUAAUAAUAUGACCAAUCAUAGGAAUUUUUUCAAAUUAGCUGAUGAGGCACAAAUGGGCGAUUUAAGUCAAUUGAUGCAAAAUAAAUCGGGAACUCAACAAUGUGCACUCCAACAGGCCCUCGGUGAAACAUCACAGUUCAUAAGGUCUUACAUCACCGGCAACGUAGAGGAGCCGGAAAUUGAAAUGCAACGGAAACAUCAGUCCCUGAAACGUCCCAUCUACAAUGAGAACAGUUUUUCUAGUAACAGCAGCGAAGAAGAUGCUCUAAUACCAAAGAAAAAAAGCUCCAGAUCAUGUAAGGGUAAAAUAUACCAAGAAUUAAUAAAUUCUGGUCAAAUAGCAGCACCAGCUAUUAAAAAAUCCAAAUCAAUGCAACGGGUGACAACUGAAUCGACAACCCAACAAAGUUCAAAUUGUUUUUCGGAUUACAUAGGCCAUAGACAUUCAAAUGAAACCACCAACCAGAUGAUGGUAAACAUUAACAACAACACUAAUGCCAGUACACAAUUGGAGAAGCAAGAUGUUUUUGAUUCAAACUCCGAAACGGCGAAUAACACUAGUCCACAUGAUAUGGCCAGCUUCGAUUUGGAGGAGAAAAUCAAAGAACUUCCAGCCUUAAGUUUAGACGAAUAUCUGCAACGUAAACGUAAUACUAAAAAGAAAAAGAAGUUUACCACCAAUGGCAAAAAACGCAGCAACCGCGGCAACAGCAGCACAACUGGUAGUGUUCAAGGUAAUAAAGCGAAUGCUAUGGGCAAGGGUUCCCAAAAUCCAAUUUCGACAUCAUAUGGCUAUAAUAUCCUGGAUCCCCGAAUAAUUCAACAAAGAAGACAACAACAGCAGCAGGCAGUUGGUAGUCAAAAACGUAAAGCACGCAAAGAAAGCAUUACCCGAAGAGAUGUUUCGGCCAUUGAGGAGGAAGUUGCCUCCCUGAUGCCUCUAACCAUAAAUGGUUGUUGUUAUUAUCAGGAAGCUUCUUUGCCAUUGUCAUCAUCAUCAUCAUACAAGAAUAAUACAAAAGACAUGAACUCUAAUCCCGAAUCAACAUCACCAAUCAUUCCAACAGCAACAGCUCACCCAACAACCGGUGGUGAGCUGCAAAUGUCCAAAAAUACGAGCAAAGAGUUGUUGACCAACAAUACCUUAAAUGACAAUACAUCAUCUACCUCAGAUUUACUCAUACUGGCCGAAGUCGCUGCCAAUCGCACUGAAUAAAAAAAGAGUAGUUCUUAAAACAAUGAAAUACUGAUAAGGAAAAAGAAACACAUUUAGAAAAUCAAAUGAUAUUUAUCUAGAGACAUCAUGUUAGUAUAUAAGUUAAACAAUCUCCUCUUUCCCACCCCUAAUCUACUACUACUACACUUAUAACUUCCAUCACAAAUAUAUAUUUUUAAAAUGUAAUUUAAAAAAAAAAUCAGUCAAUUUAUGACGAUAUUAAAAACAAUAUUGGCGCCAGUAUGGAUUCUAAAUAUCUAUUUUAAUUGUAAUGGCUUUAUUGUGGAAACAUAAAUUCUAUUUUCACAAAAAACAAAUGGUAUAGCUCAAAUUUGGCAAUGAAUUCUCAAGAAUGUAAAGCAAAUCAUAUUUUCCCCAUACAAUAGUCAAGUGUGUUUAAAGAUCUCUCUUUUUCGCUCAAGUGAUGGAUAUUAAACUUUAAUUUACAAUUAAUGUUAUUAACUCAUGCUUUAAUCAUUUGUUUAACCCUAUGGUCAUUUCAAAAUGAAUCCACCAAAAUGUGCAAUACAGUUAGUAAUGAAAAUAAACAGAUAAAAUAGCCUAACCGAAUAAUCGAAAAACAAAGCAAUCGGCAAACAAUCAAAAGUCUUGAACAAGUUAAGGCUGUGAAAUCAAUUGAUUUCCAAUUUUAUUGUUUUUUUAUUGUUUCAACAUGAAUAAAGUCAAUAUUUUUGUUAUUGUUAUUAAGAAAUGUUUUUAAGAAAAGAGUAGGGGGAUUUCUU